RNAcentral lists this ribosomal RNA (253 nucleotides) under uncultured bacterium. RNAcentral describes it as "partial 16S ribosomal RNA". It matches the Rfam family "Bacterial small subunit ribosomal RNA", at positions 524 to 776 of the family's 1533-position model. The record is from RNAcentral.
UACGGAGGGGGCAAGCGUUGUUCGGAAUUAUUGGGCGUAAAGGGCGCGUAGGCGGCCGGCCAAGUCGGGUGUGAAAUCCCUCGGCUCAACCGAGGAACUGCACUCGAUACUGGCUGGCUUGAGUCCGGGAGGGGAUGGUGGAAUUCCCAGUGUAGCGGUGAAAUGCGUAGAUAUUGGGAAGAACACCGGUGGCGAAGGCGACCAUCUGGACCGGAACUGACGCUGAGACACGAAAGCCAGGGGAGCAAACGGG